GUUUGCCCUUCGGGGUGAGUGGCUAAGCGAAAGCGUUAAGCGUCCCACCUGGGGAGUACGCCGGCAACGGUGAAACUCAAAGGAAUUGACGGGGGCCCGCACAAGCGGAGGAACAUGUGGUUUAAUUCGAUGAUACGCGAGGAACCUUACCCGGGCUUGAACUGCAGCUGAACGAUUCAGAGAUGAUGAGGUCCUUCGGGACAGCUGUGGAGGUGCUGCAUGGUUGUCGUCAGCUCGUGCCGUGAGGUGUCGGCUUAAGUGCCAUAACGAGCGCAACCCUUUUCUCUAGUUACCAUCAGGUUUUGCUGGGCACUCUGGAGACACUGCCACCGUAAGGUGUGAGGAAGGUGGGGAUGACGUCAAAUCAGCACGGCCCUUACGUCCGGGGCUACACACGUGUACAAUGGGUGGUACAGAGAGCGGGCUGCCUGCAAAGUCAGCCGAAUCAUGAAAGCCAUCCUCAGUUCGGAUUGGGGUCUGCAACCCGACCCCAUGAAGCUGGAUUCG
RNAcentral lists this ribosomal RNA (507 nucleotides) under uncultured bacterium. RNAcentral's name for it is "bacterial SSU rRNA". It matches the Rfam family "Bacterial small subunit ribosomal RNA", at positions 822 to 1334 of the family's 1533-position model. The record is from RNAcentral.